RNAcentral lists this long non-coding RNA (1458 nucleotides) under Macaca fascicularis (crab-eating macaque). RNAcentral's name for it is "lncRNA (ENSMFAG00000048373.1)". Lineage: Eukaryota; Metazoa; Chordata; Mammalia; Primates; Cercopithecidae. The record is from RNAcentral.
AUCGCCUAUAAAUAGGGCUUCAAAUUUCCCAUUUUUGCAUAUUUACUAAUAUACGACAGAUGUUGCACUGACUUUAAUUCAAUAUCAAUAUUAAAGUCAUAUAUGGUAGUAGUAAAUAGAGAUAGCCAUACCGUAGAGUCAAUAAGACAUAAGAUUAGUUAUGUUAUUAUUAUUGAUUAUGCAUAAUAUAUCAUUUUCCUGAAGAGAACAGACUAAUAGCUGAUUUCAGCAAGGAUCUUUUAGGCUUUUGUUUUCUAAUUAUUUUACAUCUUUUUUUUUUUUGGACACAGAGUCUCAUUCUGUCACCCAGCCUGAGUGACAAAGUAAGACCCUGUCUUAAAAAAAAUUUUUUGAAAGAACUUGAACAACUUCCCCUUCUUAGAAAAUGUGUAAACUCUGAUGUGUCAGCUGAGAAGUCAAGGACCUGGGAUUUCAACCUCUCACCCGUGUGUUUGUGAUUCUGGUGUGAAGGCGAUGAUGCAUUUCCAAAGCUGAACUUGUUCUGCUAGGUUUGGGAUGUGGCAGAAUUCUGGUUCCUGCCAGAGUCCCAAUCUUUCUGAAUGUAUGUGUGUGUACGUGUGUGUGCAUGUGUGAUGUAUGAAUGGAUAUAUUUAUAUCCAUACAUAUAUACACAUGCACAUCUACAUGUAUAUGUAUAUACAAUCAAGAUGUUCAAAAUCCAAAGCAUUGUUUUAAGAGAGUUAAAAAAAUUCAGUAUGUACAGAUUUGAAUUCAGACUGGGUUAAAACCACCUUCCUCCUCUGGUUUUCAAAAGGAAGGUUUUGGAGUUUGUGAAAUUUUUCUAUUGAGCUAAGGUAACAUUUGAUGUACAAGAGCAAAGCUGCUUCUCAUGCCUAAUUCCAUAAAAAGCCUAGAACCUCUGAAGCCCAUCUUCAGCCAGGCAGCCUUGCCCUCUGGCCUUUUCUGCAACAGAGAGACAACAGCCCUGGGCACAGCGGGAGUUGGUCCUGACACCAGAUGUUCUCUGCUCCUGGUUAAUGUCAGUGAGGGCUGGAAGUUGAAUAAAUGAGAACAGGAGUGGUCUGGGCCCAUGUAAAUGAUCCUCACUUGAAAGGAGGAGCAGCUUUCAUCAUUUGUUCCAGCUAAGCCUCGCAUGCGUUAUAGAUCUGAUGCUAAGCAGUGGGAAAGAUCUCAUAAGUAAUGUUUUAUGUUCUCUCUGUCUCUCCUCUUCUGUUGUUCUUGGCUUGUGGGUUGUGUGCGUGUUAUUAACUGGAAAAUUGCUGUAAGCCAGUUGUCUCUAAUUUUUAAAAACAAAUUAGAAAAACCAUAAAAUCCUCUGGCCUGUGCACAUUGUCCCUGUUUUGUGAAAACAUUAAAGGGUAAAUAAAAAGGAAGGAGAACAGUCAAUAAUGUGCAGCAAAUAUAUUCUGAGUUCUAGAGAAAUAAAUGACCAAGUGUUAGAACUAGAAGCAAAAAAAAAAAACAAAAAACAAAAAA